RNAcentral lists this unclassified non-coding RNA (212 nucleotides) under Hevea brasiliensis (rubber tree). Lineage: Eukaryota; Viridiplantae; Streptophyta; Magnoliopsida; Malpighiales; Euphorbiaceae. The record is from RNAcentral.
GUGAAAUCACUCAUUUGUAGGAUCGAUUGAUUCUCCUAUUAUGAUGUUUCAGAUUGUAAUAAUGCAAUUGCAAGAUUGAUAACGUAGAAAGCAUAAGUUAAUUACAGUAUAUCACAUUUAGAGGACGAAAUAGGGAUCAGAGAUGCGAUCAUUCGAAACGAUGUUGUCGAGGAGGGAUUAGACAAGCCCCCACUCUCGCAAGUACUCCUGCC